This is a long non-coding RNA of Lepidothrix coronata (blue-crowned manakin), 899 nucleotides long. RefSeq lists it as uncharacterized. The record is from RefSeq and is a predicted model, not a curated record. Lineage: Eukaryota; Metazoa; Chordata; Aves; Passeriformes; Pipridae. The transcript has 4 exons.
CCACUUUAGGGGCUCUGUGGCCGCCCAAAGUAACAAAUUGUAAGACUUUUCUGAUGAAUAUUCAUAUCCUGGCUAAUAAGUACGUGUGCUAUCUUGAGCCAACCAUGCAGGGUACAGGAAGGAUGUUAUUUUAAAAAUAAAGCUGCCGGAUUAUUUUUCCUGUAGACAGAACUGAAGCAUGAUUUCCACUGCUCUGAUGCCAUUGCUGAAUGAAGAGGUCGUCAGAGUUGCCUGACAAAUCUGUUGCUGUUUCCAUCCCUGUGGUACUAAAUGUGUUGUACCUGGAUGGUGGGAAAGCUGGAUAAUCAGUCACAUUUCCAGUAUCUCCACAUGAGCAAUUAGGAACAUCUACCCCAAAGCUGUAGGCCAGACAGAGCUACAGGCACAGUGAACCUUAAUGUUUCUUUAAUCAGCAUCUGAUAACAAGUGAUUCAUAACCAAGCAAACUCAAGUAACUUCAACUGAAAAACAAGUAGCCAAGAAGAAACAUUGUUUGCAUUGAGGUGCAAAUAACUAAGACAGAAAAAUAUCGUGGUCUUUAAAUAUUUGUCUCAAGGACUCAGACAUAACGUGACUUGUCCACAAGAUGGCAUGCACUGUACCCAGAAGGGGCUGGCAGCAAAGUACCAUCUGUGGGACAAAAAAACCCUUCCUUGGAAUUGUCCUUAACUUCCUUAUCCUUCUAGGCAAGCACAGAAGAAAACCUGUCUGUAAUUACUUUCUUGAUCUAAAAAUCUGCUUGUCUCAGAGAUGAGCAAAGACUUCAGUUCACAUGGAAAACAGAUAAUGUCUGUCAUCCAGGGGAAUUAGUUUUUCUCUUUGAGAUUUCAGGUGGCUACAGCCAAGUUAAGUCAUACACAAGAGGCACAGGCACUGCAGGGAGAAAGAUUAUAACCUUA